RNAcentral lists this ribosomal RNA (490 nucleotides) under uncultured bacterium. Its description in RNAcentral is "partial 16S ribosomal RNA". It matches the Rfam family "Bacterial small subunit ribosomal RNA", at positions 28 to 507 of the family's 1533-position model. The record is from RNAcentral.
GAUGAACGCUGGCUACAGGCUUAACACAUGCAAGUCGAGGGGAAACGACGGGGAAGCUUGCUUCCCCGGGCGUCGACCGGCGCACGGGUGAGUAACGCGUAUCCAACCUGCCUCUGACUGAGGGAUAACCCGUCGAAAGUCGGCCUAAUACCUCAUGGUAUCGUCUGCGGGCAUCCAACGACGAUUAAAGAUUUCAUCGGUCAGGGAUGGGGAUGCGUCUGAUUAGCUUGUUGGCGGGGUAACGGCCCACCAAGGCUACGAUCAGUAGGGGUUCUGAGAGGAAGGUCCCCCACAUUGGAACUGAGACACGGUCCAAACUCCUACGGGAGGCAGCAGUGAGGAAUAUUGGUCAAUGGGCGAGAGCCUGAACCAGCCAAGUAGCGUGCAGGAAGACGGCCCUAUGGGUUGGAAACUGCUUUAUGCGGGGAUAAAGUGAGGGACGUGUCCCUCAUUGCAGGUACCGCAUGAAUAAGGACCGGCUAAUUCCGUG